GACGAACGCUGGCGGCGUGCUUAACACAUGCAAGUCGAACGGAAAGGCCCUGCUUUUGUGGGGUGCUCGAGUGGCGAACGGGUGAGUAACACGUGAGUAACCUGCCCUUGACUUUGGGAUAACUUCAGGAAACUGGGGCUAAUACCGGAUAGGAGCUCCUGCUGCAUGGUGGGGGUUGGAAAGUUUCGGCGGUUGGGGAUGGACUCGCGGCUUAUCAGCUUGUUGGUGGGGUAGUGGCUUACCAAGGCUUUGACGGGUAGCCGGCCUGAGAGGGUGACCGGCCACAUUGGGACUGAGAUACGGCCCAGACUCCUACGGGAGGCAGCAGUGGGGAAUAUGGCACAAUGGGCGGAAGCCUGAGGCAGCAACGCCGCGUGCGGGAUGACGGCCUUCGGGUUGUAAACCGCUUUCGCCUGUGACGAAGCGUGAGUGACGGUAAUGGGUAAAGAAGCACCGGCUAACUACGU
This 467-nucleotide ribosomal RNA is filed under the name uncultured bacterium. RNAcentral describes it as "partial 16S ribosomal RNA". It matches the Rfam family "Bacterial small subunit ribosomal RNA", at positions 28 to 506 of the family's 1533-position model. The record is from RNAcentral.